This 126-nucleotide ribosomal RNA is filed under the name Salmonella enterica subsp. enterica serovar Kentucky. RNAcentral's name for it is "partial 23S ribosomal RNA". It matches the Rfam family "Bacterial large subunit ribosomal RNA", at positions 1796 to 1921 of the family's 2925-position model. The record is from RNAcentral. Lineage: Bacteria; Pseudomonadati; Pseudomonadota; Gammaproteobacteria; Enterobacterales; Enterobacteriaceae.
GCAACUGUUUAUUAAAAACACAGCACUGUGCAAACACGAAAGUGGACGUAUACGGUGUGACGCCUGCCCGGUGCCGGAAGGUUAAUUGAUGGGGUCAGCGCAAGCGAAGCUCCUGAUCGAAGCCCC